GAUGAACGCUGGCGGCGUGCCUAAUACAUGCAAGUCGAGCGAACAGACGAGGAGCUUGCUCCUCUGACGUUAGCGGCGGACGGGUGAGUAACACGUGGAUAACCUACCUAUAAGACUGGGAUAACUUCGUGAAACCGGAGCUAAUACCGGAUAAUAUAUUGAACCGCAUGGUUCAAUAGUGAAAGACGGUUUUGCUGUCACUUAUAGAUUGUUCCGCGCCGCAUUAGCUAGUUGGUAAGGUAACGGCUUACCAAGGCAACGAUGCGUAGCCGACCUGAAAGGGAGAUUCGCCACACUGGAACUGAGACACGGUCCAGACUCCUACGGGAGGCAGCAGUAGGGAAUCUUCCGCAAUGGGGGAAAGGCUGACGGAGCAACGCCGGGGGAGGGAUGAAGGUCUUCGGAUCGGAAAACUAUGUUAGUAGGGAAGAACAAAUGUGUAAGUAACUAUGCACGUCUUGACGGUACCUAAACAGAAAGCCACGGCUAACUACGUG
RNAcentral lists this ribosomal RNA (497 nucleotides) under uncultured bacterium. RNAcentral's name for it is "partial 16S ribosomal RNA". It matches the Rfam family "Bacterial small subunit ribosomal RNA", at positions 28 to 507 of the family's 1533-position model. The record is from RNAcentral.